RNAcentral lists this ribosomal RNA (758 nucleotides) under Solibacillus sp. RNAcentral describes it as "partial 16S ribosomal RNA". It matches the Rfam family "Bacterial small subunit ribosomal RNA", at positions 61 to 798 of the family's 1533-position model. The record is from RNAcentral. Lineage: Bacteria; Bacillati; Bacillota; Bacilli; Caryophanales; Caryophanaceae.
GUCGAGCGGACUUUCNUCGGUGCUUGCACCUUUGAAAGUUAGCGGCGGACGGGNGAGUAACACGUGGGUAACCUACCCUGNANAUUGGGAUAACUCCGGGAAACCGGGGCUAAUACCGAAUAACACUUUUGACCUCAUGGNCGAAUGUUNAAANACGGUUUCNGNUGUCNCUACNGGAUGGGCCCGCGGCGCAUUANCUAGUUGGNGAGGNAACGGCUCACCAAGGNAACGAUGCGUAGCCGACCUGAGAGGGUGAUCGGCCNCNCUGGGACUGANACNCGGCCCANACUCCUACGGGAGGCAGCAGUAGGGAAUCUUCCNCAAUGGACGAAAGUCUGAUGGANCAACNCCNCGNGAGUGAANAAGGAUUUCGGUUCNUAAAACUCUGUUGCAAGGGAANAACAAGUAGCGUANUAACUGGNGCUACCUUGACGGUACCUUGUUANAAAGCCACGGNUAACUACGUGCCAGCAGCCGCGGUAAUACGUAGGNGGCAAGCGUUGUCCGGAAUUAUUGGGCGUAAAGCGCGCGCAGGUGGUUUCUUAAGUCUGAUGUGAAAGCCCACGGCUCAACCGUGGAGGGUCAUUGGAAACUGGGAAACUUGAGUGCNGAAGANGAUAGUGGAAUUCCAAGUGUAGCGGUGAAAUGCGUAGAGAUUUGGANGAACACCAGUGGCGAAGGCGACUAUCUGGUCUGUAACUGACACUGAGGCGCGAAAGCGUGGGGAGCAAACAGGAUUAGAUACCCUGGUAGUCCAC